RNAcentral lists this ribosomal RNA (487 nucleotides) under uncultured bacterium. Its description in RNAcentral is "bacterial SSU rRNA". It matches the Rfam family "Bacterial small subunit ribosomal RNA", at positions 28 to 507 of the family's 1533-position model. The record is from RNAcentral.
GAUGAACGCUAGCGGGAGGCUUAACACAUGCAAGUCGAGGGGCAGCAUAGGGUAGCAAUACUCUGAUGGCGACCGGCAAACGGGUGAGUAACGCGUAUGCAACCUACCCUGUACAGGGGGAUAACCCGGAGAAAUUCGGACUAAUAUCCCGUAAUAAUAUCCGGAGGCAUCUUUGGAUAUUUAAAGUUCCGACGGUACGGGAUGGGCAUGCGUAACAUUAGCUGGUUGGUAAGGUAACGGCUUACCAAGGCUAUGAUGUUUAGGGGUCCUGGGAGGGUGGUCCCCCACACUGGUACUGAGACACGGACCAGACUCCUACGGGAGGCAGCAGUGAGGAAUAUUGGUCAAUGGGCGCAAGCCUGAACCAGCCAUCCCGCGUGCAGGAAGACGGCCCUAUGGGUUGUAAACUGCUUUUCCAGGGAGAGAAACUUACGCACGUGUUGCGUGACUGACGGUACCCUGGGAAUAAGCAUCGGCUAACUCCGUG